Molecule: long non-coding RNA, 854 nt
Organism: Gossypium arboreum
Lineage: Eukaryota; Viridiplantae; Streptophyta; Magnoliopsida; Malvales; Malvaceae
Exons: 2
Source: RefSeq, a predicted model, not a curated record
ACUUUGGGCACUUUCAAAUCGGUACUUAACAAAAUUUAUCGAUACUAAAGAAAAAAUAUCGAUACUUAUCCAUAAGUGUUGAUACUUUCAGGGCUUUUAAAAUUCCUGCAACAUGUUUUAAAGCAGUUUCGGGCAAAAAAAAAUUCUCAUUUUUUCCUCCACUGAAUCCCUUAAAUCAAACCACUCAAAAUCCUUCAAAUUUUUCAUCCACUUUUCGAUAUUAUCACUCUAAACACUUCACAUUUCAACCUUACCAAGGAUUCAACAGGUUUUGCUUUAGAUUUUUCAUCUUCUACAAGCAUUUUCAAGCUCAAAAUCCCUACCAGAGGUGAUCCUCCAAUAACCUAUCCUACUCCUCUUGGUUUUGGUGCUUUUCGACAUAUGGGAUAUAGAAAGGAUCCCUAUACUGGUGCUCAGAUCAAGGGUGGUCCACUUGAGAUCUAUAGAGAUGAAGAUAAGGAUAUGGGUGAGAUUCCCGAUCUGAUUCCUACUCAAGAGCAUGCUCCUCCUCCCAUGCCUACUCCAACUAAAGAUCAAACCUUUUCAACAGAUACUCUUUCCAUUCUUGGAGUUAUUAAUGCUUUGAACGAUGAGUUUUGAGGCUUUUAGACUUCAGUUGAUGUGAGGAUGAAUACAUUGGAGGAUAAUAUGAUUUAUAUUAUGUCUCAAUUCCCUCCACCGCAACCUCCACCUCAAGAGGAAUAUGAUAGGUGUUGCAUCUUCAUACAUUUUCAUGCGCAUCAUUAGGUUAUUUUAAAUUGUUUCUUAUAACUAUGUUUGUUUAAGCUAAAUGUUUACUUUGGUAUAUUAAGAUGCUUUAAUGUUUAAUUUUAUGUUAAUUCCUAUUUCUUAUU